GCAGUCGAACGGCAGCACGGACUUCGGUCUGGUGGCGAGUGGCGAACGGGUGAGUAAUAUAUCGGAACGUGCCCAGUCGUGGGGGAUAACGUAGUGAAAAUUACGCUAAUACCGCAUACGAUCUAAGGAUGAAAGCGGGGGAUCGCAAGACCUCGCGCGAUUGGAGCGGCCGAUAUCAGAUUAGGUAGUUGGUGAGGUAAAGGCUCACCAAGCCAACGAUCUGUAGCUGGUCUGAGAGGACGACCAGCCACACUGGAACUGAGACACGGUCCAGACUCCUACGGGAGGCAGCAGUGGGGAAUUUUGGACAAUGGACGCAAGUCUGAUCCAGCCAUUCCGCGUGCAGGACGAAGGCCUUCGGGUUGUAAACUGCUUUUGUACAGAACGAAAAGGUCUCUAUUAAUACUAGGGGCUCAUGACGGUACUGUAAGAAUAAGCACCGGCUAACUACGUGCCAGCAGCCGCGGUAAUACGUAGGGUGCAAGCGUUAAUCGGAAUUACUGGGCGUAAAGCGUGCGCAGGCGGUUAUGUAAGACAGAUGUGAAAUCCCCGGGCUCAACCUGGGAACUGCAUUUGUGACUGCAUAGCUGGAGUGCGGCAGAGGGGGAUGGAAUUCCGCGUGUAGCAGUGAAAUGCGUAGAUAUGCGGAGGAACACCGAUGGCGAAGGCAAUCCCCUGGGCCUGCACUGACGCUCAUGCACGAAAGCGUGGGGAGCAAACAGGAUUAGAUACCCUGGUAGUCCACGCCCUAAACGAUGUCAACUGGUUGUUGGGUCUUCACUGACUCAGUAACGAAGCUAACGCGUGAAGUUGACCGCCUG
This 821-nucleotide ribosomal RNA is filed under the name uncultured bacterium. RNAcentral describes it as "bacterial SSU rRNA". It matches the Rfam family "Bacterial small subunit ribosomal RNA", at positions 57 to 875 of the family's 1533-position model. The record is from RNAcentral.